This is a long non-coding RNA of Empidonax traillii (willow flycatcher), 545 nucleotides long. RefSeq lists it as uncharacterized. NCBI's taxonomy places the organism in Eukaryota, Metazoa, Chordata, Aves, Passeriformes, Tyrannidae. The transcript has 5 exons. The record is from RefSeq and is a predicted model, not a curated record.
CAGAGUGUGAGAGAAGCCAGUAAUAAAAAGUAUCUGGGUCAUUUCUUCUUGCAGUGAGAGCAGAGCCCUCACAGACACUGAGAGACAAGCUCGAGUGAAUCCGUCCAUCAGAGUGUAAGAUGAACUUGCCCUACAGCUGGUGGAGAGGUCCCACACCAGGAAAAGCAGUCUUCAGCCUGGAUGGAUGCUUGAAGCCAUCCCAGUAUUCCGUUCUCCCAUGUGUGGUGCCUACUGGGAUAUUUGAUGCCUUGGAGCCUCUUAAUCCAACUGUGCUGUGUCUGAGCUGGUAUUGGUGAUGUCCACCACUGGAGGGGAUGGAAACACAAACAGAUGCUGGCCCACACAGCUGAUGAGCUAUAUCUUUCUUUGCCCAGUUCCUCACUGAGGAAGUCCAGGACAGGGACUGCUGAGUGGAGACAGUGCCUGUGAAGGACUUAAGGCUGGACAGUGUCACCCACCCAGUUCUGCUGAGGAGUCCAGUGUAUCCCAAACCAAACAAGAACCUGCAGUUGUAGCAUCAAGCAACACCCUGAAAACCAGAGUCC